UACGUAGGGGGCAAGCGUUGUCCGGAGUUACUGGGCGUAAGGCGCACGCAGGCGGUCUCUUAAGUUUGGAGUGACAGUUGGUGGCUUAACUGCCAAAGUGCUUCGAAAACUGAGAGACUUGAGGGCUUCAGAGGGACACGGAAUUCCGGGUGGAGUGGUGAAAUGCGUAGAUAUCAGGAGGAACACCUGUGGUGUAGACAGCUUACUGGACCACUUCUGACGCUGAGACACGAAAGCGUGGGUAGCAAACAGG
Molecule: ribosomal RNA, 253 nt
Filed under: uncultured bacterium
Lineage: Bacteria
Description: partial 16S ribosomal RNA
Rfam family: Bacterial small subunit ribosomal RNA
Source: RNAcentral